CUUGUAACUCCGCCUGUCAAGUCACAGCCGGUCCCAAGCCCGGAAAAAGGAGGAGGGCAAG
Molecule: non-coding RNA, 61 nt
Filed under: Solanum lycopersicum (tomato)
Lineage: Eukaryota; Viridiplantae; Streptophyta; Magnoliopsida; Solanales; Solanaceae
Also listed under: 1 other name
Source: RNAcentral